AACAUAACGUGUAAGGUAAUUUAUUUUAAAAGUCAUUACUUUAUUACAUUGAGUUGCAAGCUACCCCUUGGUCGUUAGGGCAAAUCUGGUCUGUGAUAGGAGUUUUUUUUUCUCACACCUAGCUCAGAUAUUAGACUAUUCUUUAGUAAACAUUGACUAGUCUUGUUCAGCUAUUAGCCCAACUUGCAACAAAUUGCUGUUCCCAUCUCAUUUCUUUCCCUCUUCCACGUGUCAUCAUUCAUCAUUGUCAGUGGCUCGCUUGUGGGCGUGCAGGCAGGAUAUGGCAGCAGCUUCGGUUGUGCGUCAAGAAUUCUGCAUACAGUAGCGCGUUUGUAGGAAUGUGUGGUUAUUCACAGGCAAAUUGUUAUGUGCUAUGGAGGUACAUUUGUGUCUUUUUGUCGAGAGCAAAACCUUUUUUAUUUUCAAUCAAAAAUAAUUGUUCUGAAAGCAACUUUUUUCCGACACAAAGGAAGUCAAAGCGGACACCUACGAAGAUGGCAUCUCAGAGUGAGCUGACCAAGGGGUCGAAAAUAUAGAUAUUGCCAGAUGUUCACUGUCUGAGGAACAGGCCGUGUAAGCUGUAUUGCUGGCAAAAGUGUCCAUAACCAGAGCAUAAAGUACUCUCUAGCCACUUAGUGUGGACACCAGGUGAGACCACACACACAAUAACAGUCUCUCUUCUUCACUUCAUCCCUCUCUCCAUUCUCCCUAAACCCCUCCCGCAUCUGAACUGGCUGACACAGAGGGCAGGGCAUGAUCAUAGGUGAGAUGUCACUUGGUCGGGUCAACAGGAAGUAUUAUUAAAAAGAUGCUUUACAUUGAAAUACAGACAGAGAUGAAGUAGUCCCAGAGUUAAUGAUCCAAGGUCAGUUUUGCAUUUCACCUCCUGAUUAAGAUGACUGACCAUGUUAGAAUAAAAAAACAAGGCUUAAUAAUCAUGUUCUCUCUCUAUCCAUCUGUCUCUCGUCUGCAGGUAUGUUAUGAUGUGAGAGAGGAAGCCAGUCCCGUCAUCGCCACCUCACCCGCUCUUAAUAUACCUUUUGGGCCAACUGGGGGCCAAAGGCUGGUUAGGAAACACCGCAAUUGUGAUGAACUGAGAGGAUAUUAGGGUAGCACUGAAAUUCAUGAGUCAUAUGCUGUCUGCCGCUGUUCUUACCUCUUUCUCUUUCUGUCUUCUACACCUCUCACCUCAUCUUUCUUCCUCGUUUUAUAAUGCACACCAUAUGUGCAUUGAAGUACAGAUUGAACUUGUAUUUAUAAUAUAGUAUUACAAUUAUCAUAAUUAUAAUGCAUUUAUGUAUUUAUAACACCUGGAUAAUGAACUUUUUUCAAUAAAGCAUUUCACAUUCUCCACUGAUUG
This 1360-nucleotide long non-coding RNA is filed under the name Salmo salar (Atlantic salmon). RNAcentral describes it as "lncRNA (ENSSSAG00000083686.1)". Lineage: Eukaryota; Metazoa; Chordata; Actinopteri; Salmoniformes; Salmonidae. The record is from RNAcentral.